CCUACGGGUGGCAGCAGUGGGGGAUAUUGCACAAUGGGGGAAACCCUGAUGCAGCGACGCCGCGUGAGUGAAGAAGUAUUUCGGUAUGUAAAGCUCUAUCAGCCGGGAAGCAAAUGACGGUACCUGAAGAAGAAGCCCCGGCUAACUACGUGCCAGCAGCCGCGGUAAUACGUAGGGGGCAAGCGUUAUCCGGAUUUACUGGGUGUAAAGGGGGCGCAGUCGGCGAUGCAAGCCAGGAGUUAAAGCCCGGGGCCCAACCCCGGGACUGCUCGUGGAACUGCGUGGCUGGAGUGCAGGAGAGGCAGGCGGAAUUCCUGGUGUAGCGGUGAAAUGCGUAGAUAUCGGGAGGAACACCGGUGGCGAAGGCGGCCUGCUGGACUGCAACUGACGUUGAGGCCCGAAAGCGUGGGUAGCAAACAGGAUUAGAUACCCCAGUAGUC
RNAcentral lists this ribosomal RNA (440 nucleotides) under uncultured bacterium. RNAcentral's name for it is "partial 16S ribosomal RNA". It matches the Rfam family "Bacterial small subunit ribosomal RNA", at positions 338 to 795 of the family's 1533-position model. The record is from RNAcentral.